RNAcentral lists this ribosomal RNA (690 nucleotides) under uncultured Acidobacteriota bacterium. RNAcentral describes it as "bacterial SSU rRNA". It matches the Rfam family "Bacterial small subunit ribosomal RNA", at positions 15 to 709 of the family's 1533-position model. Lineage: Bacteria; Pseudomonadati; Acidobacteriota. The record is from RNAcentral.
GAUCCUGGCUCAGAAUCAACGCUGGCGGCGUGCCUAACACAUGCAAGUCGAGCGAGAAAAGGGGAGCAAUCCCCUGAGUACAGCGGCGCACGGGUGAGUAACACGUGGGUAAUCUGCCCUGGAGUGGGGAAUAACACCGGGAAACCGGUGCUAAUACCGCAUACGAUAACGAUGUUUGCGGACGUUGUUAUGAAAGGAGCAAUUCGCUCCAGGAGGAGCCCGCGGCUGAUUAGCUAGUUGGUGAGGUAAUGGCUCACCAAGGCGACGAUCAGUAUCCGGUCUGAGAGGACGGUCGGACACACUGGAACUGAGACACGGUCCAGACUCCUACGGGAGGCAGCAGUGGGGAAUUUUUGGCAAUGGGGGAAACCCUGACCAAGCAACGCCGCGUGGGUGAUGAAGUCUCUUGGGACGUAAAACCCUUUCGACAGGGAAGAAACCCGCAAGGGUUGACGGUACCUGUAGAAGAAGCCCCGGCUAACUCCGUGCCAGCAGCCGCGGUAAUACGGGGGGGGCAAGCGUUGUUCGGAAUUACUGGGCGUAAAGGGUGCGUAGGCGGUUUGCUAAGUUGGAUGUGAAAACUCUGGGCUUAACUCAGAGCCUGCAUUCAAAACUGACAAGCUCGAGUUCUGGAGGGGGUAGCGGAAUUCCUGGUGUAGCGGUGAAAUGCGUAGAUAUCAGGAGGAACAC